RNAcentral lists this long non-coding RNA (3725 nucleotides) under Canis lupus familiaris (dog). RNAcentral describes it as "lncRNA (ENSCAFG00845002809.1)". The record is from RNAcentral. Lineage: Eukaryota; Metazoa; Chordata; Mammalia; Carnivora; Canidae.
AGCUGCAAAAUUCCUUCUGCCAUGUAAAGUAGCAUAUUGACAGUCUCCAGAGAUUAGGACAGGGACAUCUUCAGGGGCCUUCUGCCUACCACAAAGUGGUGGGGAAGGAGACAUCUGCUCUACAGAAUCAUUGAUGACCAUUUAGCAGAGAGAAAGAGACCCACAAGUUGAGGGCACAAGAGAAGAACUAAGUAAAUAAGCUGAAACUUUUUGAUUAUUCCAAAUGAGCAAAAGCUACCCUAAUAAACAGAAAAGGAGUAGCCCAAUAGUAUGUGAUUAUAAGAAUAAGAAUUAAUAUUUGAAGCAUUUACUUGGUGCCAGCAUCACACACACACACACACACACACACACACACACACACACACACAUUGUAUGUAGUAUGUAAGUCACAUUUUAUAAAUGAGAAAAGAGAGGUUAUUAGAGAUUAAGAGAAAUUACCUGAACUCUCAAUCUCACAGCUAGUAAGUGCUGCACAUGGCAUUUGAAUCUAGUUCUGAUGUGGGAGCUGAGCUAACCACCGUCACAGGAAAGCAGGUGACCUGCUGCAUACCCUCGUACCAAGCCUUAGCUGAUAGUUGAUCCUUCAUCAAUGCAAUAGUCCAGUACGGAUAUUUGGUGGGCAGUCUUUCCUGGUGUGAUUCUGGAGCCCAAGCAACUUCUACCUGUGUCUCUGCCAGCUGCUAGAUCUCAGGGUCUCCUGCCCCCAGAGGCAGACAGGAAAAUAAGUGUUAAAGACAGUUUGCCUAUUUUUUAAGCACCUCCUCCCAGAAGGGACGCAUCUCCUCUAUUCACAUCCCAUUGGCAGAAGCUGGUCAUACGAGCCCACCUCGAUGGUAGAGGCAGAGAAACCUUGCCUCUAGUAGGACAACUACUUUCCAGAAAUAACUCUACACUUUGGACAGGAAGCAUAAAUGUGAUGAACAGCAAACCAUAUCCAAAAUGACAGUACUGACACAUGAAUGAGUGAGUGACUACAUGAAUGAGUAAAUGAGUAAAUGAAGACAUCUUGCUUCUCAUGUCCUCCUAACAAAAAUUAAGGAUACUCUCUCUAUGAAGCUGCUCUCCGUGGCAGGGGAGGAACAACUAAAUCACCUAAACAAUAAAGGCAGAUCAGGUUUGCUAAGGUCUCUGGAAUUAUCAAAACAACAUCAAAACAUUCCAUCUUUCCUAAGGACAGUGUUGAGAGACCUCUAGCUGUCCACAUGUAGAUAGAACAGGAUCCCCAGUGUUUCACCAGACACUUAGAUGACCGAGUGUAAGACUAGAAGAUUCCAACCAUGUCAACAUUAGCUGUAAUCAGUAUGUUCUGGAAAACAGCAUGCAAACAGAACCGUGACAUGAGGCCUCUGCGGGAGUGUCAUUAAUAUAAAGGGGCUCCUUUCUUCCUCUUUUUCUCUUCCUCCAGGCUGGAGAUUGGGGAGCCAUCCUGGAUCACGAAGUAGUUCCUUGGGUUUGGUGGAGAAACAAGUGAGGGUAAAGCUGGUUCCCUGCCGAGCACGGGGUUACCCAACCAGUCUUGGGCUGCUGGACUCCAGAUUGGGUUUAUGUGAGAGAGAGAAACUUCUGUAAUGUUGAAGCCACUGUUGUCUUCCAUUUUUCUGUUACUCACAGACAGUCCUAAUCCUGACUAAUGCACACAGGACUCCGUCUCUCUUUAUCAAAGAGUAUCAUUAUGCAAAACACGCCACUGACCACCACACCAGCCUCCACCACAACUAUUUCUAUGCAUCAAAGGAUCUGCCUGGAAACCUCACUUUCAUCACUGGCAUUUCUGCCUUCCUACCUCACCUCAGCUGGUGUCUGUGAUGGCAGGGCCUGCUAGGCAAGACUUGACAAACAGGAGUAAAUGAAGGGUUUUCUCACAGGCCUUGCCCACAAGUUGCCUUGCUGUCAAGCCUGUUUUAUGCUGAGUGACUCUGGUGGGUUGGGUUAAAAGUGCAAUGGCAGAAAUGCUUCCAAACAGCUGUCAUCUUCCUGGAAAUUGUAGCUUCCUGUUACCCUUGUAAACCUCCAGGGACAGAAGUUCAAAAGUGAUCCACUUCCUACUGACACUUUUACAGUGAGAUCUGCCUUCCCUAAUCCUUCUGCUAAGGACUGGGCCUGCUAACCCAGAUAACCUGUAGUCCUGGGGCAGAAGCUGCCUGAGGCAGGGCUUCUGCUGAGGCACAGUGUUGAUAUUUCUGUGGAAAGCUCUGUUUGUCAGUGAGGAACUCAAAAUCAGUUUUGAAUCCCAAAGAUUUAGGACACACACUGGGGCAUUGCUUCCAGUUCCUGGCUCCAAGGAAGGUCCCACUGAGAUCGAUGCUGGCUUUUUCUCCUUGGAACCAUGGUUUGCAAUAUUUCUUUGACCAUGAACCCUUAGACCAAGAGAUGAAUCUUGUGAACCACCUCCUCCUAGAAAAGAAGCACACAUGUUCAUGCAAUGCACAACUUGGCCCAUAACUCCCUAAGGCUCUCGGAUCCCUGACACCCAUCCAUGAGUCUGGAGUCCCCAGGUUAAGAAGGCUUAUGUUGAACUCCAGAGAAGAUUUAGAAAUAUCUUAAGUCAUCUAGUUUCUUCUUUGAGAUAGAGUCCUCACUACCACUCUGAAACAGAGUAGCCCAAAUUCAUUCUAGAGGCUUCAAUUGUCUACUGGCUUUACUAUUACUUAUGACCAAUAGUGAGAAAAACAUGGCACACUCCCUCCCUGCUCCCAGCUCCAAGGUCCUGUAACUGAAAUUUAACUCCCAAGUAACUCUUCUUUCCUGACUUACACAAGGAACCCACACACAGCCAGAUUGGACUAUGUACAGUUUCCCAAACAUGCUGAGGUGCCUUCUUCUGAACUCUGCCCUUGUUCAGAUCAUUUCCUACCCCUAGCUCUUCGCUGAUCACUAUCUGUCAGAAUGCCAUAACUUCUCCAUAAAGCUUUUCUUGAACCCCACCUUUGUGCAGUCAGCCUGAGAUUGAAUAUCUAUUACAGCCUAUAUCACCUUUCAUAGUGGAUUAUUUGGGCUUCUGUACACCCAAAUAUCUGAAUUCUUGAGGUCUAUGAUCAGAAUGAUUAGGUUUCAAUUCUGGCUCUGGCUCGUUCUUGCUGUGUAGCCUGUGUACACUUCCUAAUCUUUCCAUGCUUCAGUUUCCUUGUUGACAAAAUGGACAUAAUAACAGUUUCCACUUCACAGGCUUAAAUGAAAUUUAAAAUUCUUAGCAUGGUGCCUGGCACAUGGAAAGCAUUUGAUAAGGAGUAUUUUUAUUCUAGUGGAUUGUACACUUCUGUCCCCAUCCCCUAUCAUUAAGCUGUUAAGUAGUUGAAGGGAGAGCCUGGGUCUUAGUCAUCACUUUAUACCUCAUAGAACCUUACCAAGAAAAACUUUGGACAUAGUAAAUAAUCAAUAGAUGCUAUAUGAAUGAAAAUGAAUCAUCCAUAAAGAUUUUAUCUAAGAACUUCAAACAGCAUCAUUGUCAUCUGUAUUUCAGGAAUAGAUGGGUGGGGGACAGACAGUGAGAUGGAUGCUAAUUUGAGAUGACACAUCAUUCUGGGUCUUGAAAAAACAUUCUGAUUACAACUCUGUCCUAACCCCAGAAAUUUUAUUCCAUCAUGAAAGAUAGGCCAAGAAUUCCCAUCUUCUCCAAUUAUGACUUUUUUUUUUCAACUCCUGUUUAAUUGGACAGAUAUUCAUUUAGCAACCAUUGGGUGUCAGGUUUUGUGAUGAGGGCUGGAGAUCAAAAUGUCUUUCUGGAG